UGAGGAUGAAACAUUUGUGAC
This 21-nucleotide microRNA is filed under the name Eptesicus fuscus (big brown bat). RNAcentral's name for it is "efu-miR-9326". The record is from miRBase by way of RNAcentral. Lineage: Eukaryota; Metazoa; Chordata; Mammalia; Chiroptera; Vespertilionidae.